GUGGAACAAAAGCAUUUAACUUUCUAAAAUCAGACCCCUGGUAUCAGGAUCUAAAAUACAGUCAUGAGAAGCAAAUUGCUAUUUGCAAAGCAGAGAAACAACAGCCAGAUUGUUUCUUCUUCACUCACUGUGCACAGUGUGUGUUGGCACUACAUUGCAGUAGCUCAGAAAUCUCAAACUGUCAGGAAAAACAAACCAUGCCCUACAGACACAAUAGAAGAGUGAAGAAAAAGCACAGAAAGGAAACUAGAAUUCAUCUUAAUUUAACAAAAGCCUGCUAUAUUUGCCAACAGUGUGGUAGAGUGUACUUCUGGUUGCUAUACCCACAUCUAGAAUAGGGAAAGCUGUGUGGAAAGAAAACCAACUGGCCAACUGCUGAACUUCAUUCCACAUGCCAGAUCUCCAGAAUAACUGCACAGGAAGACUUCAGUUCUUCAGCAAGUUAUGGCCAACAGGGGAAUGAAGAUGACAACGUGCUUCUGGAGCACUGUGAAUGAGCAUCCAGGAUUACAGGGAAGACCUUUCCUUUUUUUUUUUUUUUUUUUUUUUUUUUAGGAAGGAGAGGGCUAGAAAAGUGAGGAUGGGCUCUGCCAUCUCCAUUCCCAGCUAAGAACUUUAUCUAAAACUCAUUUAAGGAUUAUAUGAAUUUCUUUCAAAGCAGUGCUGUAGGCCCAUACAAAUGUAAUAUUUUCCAGAGUACUGUCACAGAUUUCUAAUAAACAAACAACAGUACCACAUGUAUAAGUCAAAAAUUUAAACAACAAUGAUUGCAUUUCUGUUUGCUAAACUCUUUCCUUGGUCUGCUCAUCUGACCAGUCACCACAGUCCCAUGAUCAAUUAAUAAAUCUGCAUUACAUACGGUUUCCGUAUACAAUCUCUUUAGUAAGCAUAACACUAUGUGAAAUCAUUGCCUGUUGUUGACUCGGCAAAAGCUGAGAGGGAAAAAUGAACAGAC
RNAcentral lists this long non-coding RNA (955 nucleotides) under Gallus gallus (chicken). The record is from RNAcentral. Lineage: Eukaryota; Metazoa; Chordata; Aves; Galliformes; Phasianidae.